This 497-nucleotide ribosomal RNA is filed under the name uncultured bacterium. RNAcentral's name for it is "partial 16S ribosomal RNA". It matches the Rfam family "Bacterial small subunit ribosomal RNA", at positions 28 to 507 of the family's 1533-position model. The record is from RNAcentral.
GACGAACGCUGGCGGCGUGCCUAAUACAUGCAAGUUGAGCGAUGAAGAUUGGUGCUUGCACCAAUUUGAAGAGCAGCGAACGGGUGAGUAACGCGUGGGGAAUCUGCCUUUGAGCGGGGGACAACAUUUGGAAACGAAUGCUAAUACCGCAUAACAACUUUAAACAUAAGUUUUAAGUUUGAAAGAUGCAAUUGCAUCACUCAAAGAUGAUCCCGCGUUGUAUUAGCUAGUUGGUGAGGUAAAGGCUCACCAAGGCGAUGAUACAUAGCCGACCUGAGAGGGUGAUCGGCCACAGUGGGACUGAGACACGGCCCAAACUCCGACGGGAGGCAGCAGGAGGGAAUCUUCGGCAAUGGACGAAAGUCUGACCGAGCAACGCCGCGUGAGUGAAGAAGGGUGUCGGAUCGUAAAACUCUGUUGGUAGAGAAGAACGUUGGUGAGAGUGGAAAGCUCAUCAAGUGACGGUAACUACCCAGAAAGGGACGGCUAACUACGUG